GGAAUGCUAGUCGACUUCCUCAUGUCGGGUAUUUCUCAAUAGCUUAGUGGUAAAGCAAUCAGCUAUAGACUAUCUGGUGGUAGGUUUAAAUCCCACUUGGAGAGCAUAAGACUACUAGAAG
Molecule: small RNA, 121 nt
Filed under: Helianthus annuus (common sunflower)
Lineage: Eukaryota; Viridiplantae; Streptophyta; Magnoliopsida; Asterales; Asteraceae
Description: hypothetical non coding rna
Rfam family: tRNA (bases 33-104)
About the family: Transfer RNA (tRNA) molecules are approximately 80 nucleotides in length.
Source: RNAcentral